Molecule: transfer RNA, 85 nt
Filed under: Euglena longa
Lineage: Eukaryota; Euglenozoa; Euglenophyceae; Euglenales; Euglenaceae
Description: transfer RNA (UAG)
Rfam family: tRNA
About the family: Transfer RNA (tRNA) molecules are approximately 80 nucleotides in length. Their secondary structure includes four short double-helical elements and three loops (D, anti-codon, and T loops). Further hydrogen bonds mediate the characteristic L-shaped molecular structure. tRNAs have two regions of fundamental functional importance: the anti-codon, which is responsible for specific mRNA codon recognition, and the 3' end, to which the tRNAs corresponding amino acid is attached (by aminoacyl-tRNA synthetases). tRNAs cope with the degeneracy of the genetic code in two manners: having more than one tRNA (with a specific anti-codon) for a particular amino acid; and 'wobble' base-pairing, i.e. permitting non-standard base-pairing at the 3rd anti-codon position.
Source: RNAcentral
GCAGAUAUGGCGGAAUUUGGUAGACGCGCAGGAUUUAGGUCCCUGUAUUCUUUGUAGUGUGAGAGUUCAAAUCUCUCUAUCUGUA